AGUGAACGCUGGCGGUAGGCCUAACACAUGCAAGUCGAACGGCAGCACAGUAAGAGCUUGCUCUUACGGGUGGCGAGUGGCGGACGGGUGAGGAAUACAUCGGAAUCUACUUUUUCGUGGGGGAUAACGUAGGGAAACUUACGCUAAUACCGCAUACGACCUACGGGUGAAAGCAGGGGAUCUUCGGACCUUGCGCGAUUGAAUGAGCCGAUGUCGGAUUAGCUAGUUGGCGGGUAAAGGCCCACCAAGGCGACGAUCCGUAGCUGGUCUGAGAGGAUGAUCAGCCACACUGGAACUGAGACACGGUCCAGACUCCUACGGGAGGCAGCAGUGGGGAAUAUUGGACAAUGGGCGCAAGCCUGAUCCAGCCAUACCGCGUGGGUGAAGAAGGCCUUCGGGUUGUAAAGCCCUUUUGUUGGGAAAGAAAGGCAGCAGGUUAAUACCCCGCUGUUCUGACGGUACCCAAAGAAUAAGCACCGGCUAACUUCGUG
This 491-nucleotide ribosomal RNA is filed under the name uncultured bacterium. RNAcentral's name for it is "partial 16S ribosomal RNA". It matches the Rfam family "Bacterial small subunit ribosomal RNA", at positions 29 to 507 of the family's 1533-position model. The record is from RNAcentral.